AAUGACGCGACAUGAAUUUGGCUUUGAUUCUCGAUUAAUAUGAUACUUAUGUAUGAUAGGAGCCUGAAUAUUUGUACUAGCUGUCUGUGGAUUAUUAUGUAUGAUUGUUAUAUCGUAUCGUUAUUACAGAUUGGUACAGAUUCAAACAGAUUGGUUUUGGAAUGUACGUGUAUUCAAGUGUUUUCACACUUGAAUGCUCUUCUCUUCUCCUUCAAUCGAAUACCAUGAAGUAUACGUUUCUCAAAUCUCUUCAGCCUCUAUCUUUCAAAAACUCGAAGAACACUUAGGAACAAUGAAACGUGAACAAAGUCAUCUCUUCUACUCGUAAAUCCUCCAGAUAUCUUCUCUGAGACUGAAAGUCUCGAUGACCGUGAUAUAAAUCGCACGAACAGCCCCUGGUGACUUUGCAACUGCCGCCAGAUUCCAUGCAGCGACUGUACGAGUUUCGUUCUCUGUGACUACUCUCCACGUCUUCAUCUCGACCGAUUCUCCGUCACGAUUCAUAGGGGUAUAGGUAAACGACAUCCGCGUCCGAGUGGGCACGUGCGUGUGCCUCUGCGUUCGCGUGUCCCGUAGUUUGUGUCGUUGACUGAGGGUGGUGGUGGUCGUGUGAUGGUAGUGGCGAAAAGGGGGAAAAGGGUGACGGAGGAGGGAGAGCAAGCACGUGUGAGGACGUAGUACGAUUUACUCGCAGAUCGGUGGAACGUCUUCCUCGUUCCCUCCCUCGCCCUCUUUCUCGUCGAUGAGCUGUCUUUCUUUCUCUUCCACCCCUUCCCCCUAUCGCGUACUUCUCUUCCUCAUUCUCCUCCUCUUCGUCGUUCCUCCUCCUCCACCUCUUCCUCCUCCUCCGCCUUCUCCUCCUUCACCACCUCUUCCUCCUACCACUGACAUUAUACUACUACUACGGGGUACUCCACUUUCAUUCAGUCGCUUCUAAAAAUAAAGUCCCUGAUUCACAAUGCAUGAAUGACAAUCACACUGAAAGGAAUACCGCACAGACUUGUAGCCUUUCUCACUCUCUUUCCCCCCUAUCUCAUUCCCUCUAACCGUCCCAUGUCUUCUUUGUCUCUCUUGUCGAUCUCCUGCUCUUGCGAUUUUCCCUCUCCCUCCGCCUUUCUGUUGUAUGUGUCCUGUCUCGUUCUACCAUUCCCGAAGCACUCUCUCUCGCUCUCUUUUCGCUCCUAUCACUCUCGCCUCUCCUGUCUCGCUUCUUUUUCCAACCUGUUCUCUCGUUCCCUGGCGCCAACCCCCCUUUCUCCCUCCUCUCUCUCACUCUCACUCUCUCUCUCUCUCUUUCUCUCUGUGUCUAUGUAUGUAUAUAUAUGCCUGCCUCUGUGUGUAUAUGUGUCGUACUCUCUUGUAAGAGAGUGAAAUCUCGGUUCGCCUGUUGCAUCGAACUAUUGGUUGGUUCCGUGUAAAUAGAUCCCGUGGAAAUUCGAAGUAGCAUUGCCGCGUUGCGCCGGCCUGAUCGAUCGGAGGGAUCGAUCUCGUACCGGAGAACUUGUUGCACAUCGUGCCAGAUUUUACAAAUGUCACGGUCCGAUGUUUGAAUUGGCAUCACAGAGUAUGUACGUCCGUUUGAAUAAACGUUAUCGUUUGCUCGUACUAUCCGAUGGUAAGUCGAGGAAUAGGAAGCAGUUGGAGAAUAGUUACUGAAACGUUUCUCUGCUCGUAGGUGUUUGGGCGAAGCGGUGGCUGCUUCUUUCGAGGAUAAAUAAGAAGUUUGAUAUUGCAGAGGAUGAAAAAUUCUUGGUAGAGUUCGCAAGACUGAUACGAUAACGAAGCGAGCUAUCUAAAGCAAGAUCGUAUCGCUGGCUGAUAAACGAAUUCUGCGAGGAAAACAAGUGUAGAUUCAACAAGAUAUCGUUGGUACUGCGUUGUGACAGUUCCAGGCGAUGUGCGUGUUCGUUUUAAAGUACAUGUAUAAUUAAAGUAUAGCGAUGAAGGCAUAUAACAGGAUCUCAUGCAAUUUAUUAUCCAUAUAAUUACAGAAUUCUUAAUGUAUUAAGUCAAGAAAACGAGAAGGGUUCGUUUUACGAAGAUGAACAACGAAGAUAGCAACCGGAAAUACCAGCUAUAAUUUGGGAAUGCACAAUUGUCCCGUAACGCUCUGAAGGUUCACGGAAAUAGGGGCGAGUAACCCUGAAUAUCUCGUGAAGUUCUCGACUCGAAGCACCCAAGGAGAACUGGUUUCAACUCAUCAUAGUCACCUAGCUGUUCACGAUACGGCAUUCCAAAAUAAAAAGCAGAAUAAUCAAAUGUCCCUGAAAACAGCAAAACACUGCCGAAUUCAAUAAUAUUGCUUGAAGCUGUUUUAAGGUCUACAGGUAUUUCGAAAAUUCUUCAGUGAAGAAUUAACCGCGAGGAGAGUUAUAUUAACUCGUAUAUAUAAAAGACCUACUUUCAUCACCCUUGUUGAAGUUACUCACGCGAAACAUCCUUGUUAGUAGAUAAUCCUAUAAUAAAUACAGCCUACGGAAACAUCAAGACACUUCAAAUUCUUCUUGCGAAAGAAAUUGCAGCAACAUCCAACGGUGCUAUAAAAUUAUGGCAAACGUUUGCGAACGUUUAUCCACUUACGAUAUUCCAAACGACUACAUGAAAAAUUAAAUAUCUCUUUAAAAUCAAAAUGCAUCGUGGUUGAAAUGCAUCAGAAGUUAAAGAAAAAGUGACUCCAGUUCUUGAAGAAAAGAGAAAAAUAAUUCAAAGUCGGAUAAUUCCAAGAUUAAAAUAUCUCUCUAGUUGAACCAUGACUACGACAAUCCUGGACUCUAAUCUGACUGCAAGAUUUCAGCGAAGGGACAACUUUGUGUCCAAGAGUUUCCCUUGACGAGACUCCCUCGUUAUUAUCCGCCGCUGCGAGCCUCUACUCUAACUAAAGAGAGACUUUAGAGUGCAAGACAGAGCUAUAGGUAGAAAGAGCAGCAGUACCAGCAGCUCGAACCGCUCACAGCUAAAUAUAUCUCUCUCUCUAGAGUUACUCAAGGUCACAGCGCUUGGAUUGGCCCACGAUAAAGCGCAGCUCCGUACCCGUCCCUCGGCCUGGCCUUAUGCUUCGUUCGCACACAUUCUGCCGCGCCGUGGCCCACAUGUCACUUCGCGACAAUGUCGUAUACCAGCCGCAUCGGGUACACGUGUUCGAUCGAACGCAGCAAUAGUCACUCCGCAUGCGAGCCGUAUUUUCCUAUAUAGUCACGUCUACACCUUUCGAUCUUUUUCCCCAUUGUUCUGUUUCAUUAGUCACAAUCACAAUUUCGCAUUAGUUCGCGAUCAAAAUUCUGUGUUCUCGUUUUACUCACGCUCCGUCGUUUUUUGGAACGUUUAUCUCUUUAAAUCUCACGGAACACUUUCGAUCUCUUUCGAUCAUCGAAUUUUUAAAUCUUCACUAUUUUUGCAUUUUGGUUUUAAAGUAGAGUAUUUUAUGGAAGUUGAUUCUUUUUAUGAGUAAAAUUGCCUGUUUUCUUUAAGUUAAAUAUUAAAAUUAGGUAUUUCUGAGAAAUAUAAAUUACAGUAACAAUAAUAUGUGUGAUAAAAAAAAAGAUAUUUCGGAGAUAGUAUCAUUAGCCCGUUCAGGAAAUAUACGAUAUAUUGCAUACGUGAUGUUAUUAUUAUUCUAUGAGGCACGUAUACUGACUUCCGGGUAAACCAUAGACACGGAAAGAGAGUGUGACCUGUUGCUGACGACAAAUAAUUGGCGAGUUACAGGUCGCUCUUUAGAAACACCAACAGAAAGGCGUAGAAUCUAUGGGGCGUAUGUUCCGUAAUAAUGUAUACGCAAUGUAGGAUCUUACAAACAAUGGCGUAGGCUUCAAUGCAGCUUAAGUCCAUUAUAAAAUUAUUUACAUUUUAUUAA
Molecule: long non-coding RNA, 3853 nt
Organism: Bombus pascuorum
Lineage: Eukaryota; Metazoa; Arthropoda; Insecta; Hymenoptera; Apidae
Exons: 3
Source: RefSeq, a predicted model, not a curated record